This 69-nucleotide transfer RNA is filed under the name Ictidomys tridecemlineatus (thirteen-lined ground squirrel). RNAcentral's name for it is "Spermophilus tridecemlineatus (thirteen-lined ground squirrel) tRNA". It matches the Rfam family "tRNA". From Rfam's summary of the family: Transfer RNA (tRNA) molecules are approximately 80 nucleotides in length. Their secondary structure includes four short double-helical elements and three loops (D, anti-codon, and T loops). Lineage: Eukaryota; Metazoa; Chordata; Mammalia; Rodentia; Sciuridae. RNAcentral also lists the same sequence under 1 other name. The record is from Rfam by way of RNAcentral.
GGAGUUGUAGCUCAGCAGUAGAGCACUUGCCUUACAUGUGUGAGGCACUGGGUUCAAUUCCUAGCACCA